Molecule: long non-coding RNA, 292 nt
Filed under: Elaeis guineensis (African oil palm)
Lineage: Eukaryota; Viridiplantae; Streptophyta; Magnoliopsida; Arecales; Arecaceae
Description: long non-coding RNA (EGUI_LNC022976)
Source: RNAcentral
UGAGACCCAUAUUUAUGUAUCAAUCAAACUCCAGCAGCCCCCCUACGAGCAGCAAUGUCAUCUUAAUCAAAUGACCAAUCACACAACUAUAGCAUUAAAAUGAUCAUUGACGAUCGAGUAGAAAUCCAAGUAAUCGCUCGUAUGGUCAUGCUCAGUACUAGUUAUUCUCUAAUAACUACCCACACUCAUCAUCCAAUAUCUCUAUACUAUAGACUAAAGACUCAUCUAUCCUGAAGGAAGCAAUCUGUAUGUCAGUCUAUCUGGAUCGAUCACCAUUCUCAUGAUGAUCCUA